UAUCUUCUCCCAAGCUUACUCCCUAACAUUCAAAUCAAUAUGCUCCUCAACUCGUCACCCGAGAAAUUAACUCUGUCCCGUCGGCGCUCGCUUUCCGCGGCGGAGGAGGACCAAUGAGCCCCAAAUCUAGAUCAAUACGACCGCCAUACCUCCCUCUGUUACAAUCUCAAACUCGUUUCUUCCAAAUCAUUAGCAAAAGGACAAAUCAAAACUCACAAAACCUAAACCCUAGCCCCUCAUAUUUGAAAUUGAAUGUCGUCCAAGUCCGAUUCCGAUCCGGUUCCUUAGGGUUAUGGUUCUUCUAUGUAAUAGCUAUCAAUUGGUGAAAAAGAGAAGGCAAGAACAAGAUAUACCAACCUGCGAAGCGGAGAAAUGCUCUGGUAUUUGCUGUAAUCGAAGAAGAAGACGAAUUUCAAGAAAACCAGAGAAUGAGGAAUAUUCAGGAUGUGGAAUGCAAUAUUAUUGGUCUUGCUGUAGGCCAUUGUUCAUGAUGCAAGAUUACAGAAUUGGCGCAUAUGGUUGUUGUUGAUGUUGUCAUGCCAAAGUAUCAUCCAUGGUGGUCAUGAAGUGUAGUAUUAAGACCAUCUUGUGUAGCAUGAAUACUAGCAUAGAAAUAGGGUCUUUCUUUAUGAAUAACAUGCAAUGUCACAUUUUAGGAUCAAUGCCAAUUCUCAUGGAAAAAUACUGGCAACUUAUUGAUAUGGUUUAAACUUAGGACUUGUAUGAUUGUUGUAGCAUGGUGUAUGGAAUCUUGAAACAUGUAAUGAGCUCACACUUUGGUAAUCCAAAUUCCUUACCAAUUCACAAUGCAAAUCUCAUGGAUGAA
Long non-coding RNA from Lathyrus oleraceus (garden pea), 826 nucleotides. RefSeq lists it as uncharacterized. NCBI's taxonomy places the organism in Eukaryota, Viridiplantae, Streptophyta, Magnoliopsida, Fabales, Fabaceae. The record is from RefSeq and is a predicted model, not a curated record. The transcript is spliced from 2 exons.